This 164-nucleotide ribosomal RNA is filed under the name uncultured bacterium. Its description in RNAcentral is "partial 16S ribosomal RNA". It matches the Rfam family "Bacterial small subunit ribosomal RNA", at positions 355 to 511 of the family's 1533-position model. The record is from RNAcentral.
UAGGGAAUCUUCCACAAUGGACGAAAGUCUGAUGGAGCAACGCCGCGUGAGUGAAGAAGGGUUUCGGCUCGUAAAACUCUGUUGUUAAAGAAGAACAUAUCUGAGAGUAACUGUUCAGGUAUUGACGGUAUUUAACCAGAAAGCCAUGGCUAACUACGUGCCUG